This 2118-nucleotide unclassified non-coding RNA is filed under the name Anneissia japonica. RNAcentral's name for it is "double C2-like domain-containing protein beta, transcript variant X1". Lineage: Eukaryota; Metazoa; Echinodermata; Crinoidea; Comatulida; Comatulidae. The record is from RNAcentral.
AUGUGACGUCAUUAGGAUGUAAACAAUAUGGCUACUGCUAACUACAGCUGAAAUUUGACUUACAAAAGAUUUGAUGCUUUAAAAGGUGAUAGUGACCGUUCUAUGUCUUUCUCAAAGUUGAUAUUGUAUUAUUGAUUAUUUACACGGAUUCUGAGUACAAAUAUUUAGGUCAUAAAGGAAGAAAAUGGGUGGAAAUACAAGCCAAGUUGAAGCUGGUGGAACGGCGGACACACGGGAUCCUCAGAAAAUUAACUCCGACAACGAGAGGGUUGCCCGACUUGCCAGAGCCAUGACAGCGAGACCCAAUGACAAGAGGCCUAGAAAUGACCACCCGUUUUGGGAAGAUCAGGAGGACGAGGAUCAUGAUGGUUACAAGGAAAGUAUGUACAUCUUGAAACAGUUAUACAAAAGAAUGGAUCCAACAGUGAUGAAGACAUUGGGGGACGCUAAGGGCGAGGUAAAGUUGUCCAUGAAAUACGACUGGCAACGCAAGCUGCUUCUUGUUAAAGUUGUGUCUGCACGAGAUUUAAGUGCAAAGGACUUGAGAGGGAAGGCAUCUGAUCCUUACAUAAAGCUUGAUCUUGUGCCUGACAGCCACUCAGAAGGAGCAAAGUCUACAUCAGUGGUAACCAGGAGCCUAAGUCCCACCUACAAUGAAAUCUUAACAUUUAAGGUGCUGGAGGAGGACUUGGUUGACACCCAGUUGAGGGUGCAGGUGAUGAGUCAUGACCCCAUGGGUAAGGAUGAUUUCAUGGGGGAGAGGAUCAUACCGGUGGGCGAGAUGAAUCUCAGUAAAGUUUGCACUGAUUGGUACACAUUGCAAGCGGAGACGGAUUUAGAUAUUAAAGGAGAAUUAGAGAUAGGAUUGCAGUUCCUGCUACCAGACACCCUACAAGUUAGCAUCUUUGGGGCUAGCCAACUUGUUUGCCGUGACCCUGAUAAACUGCCGUGUCCCUACGUAAAGGUAAUAAUUCCUGGAGUGCCAAAGGUUGAACAAACAAAGAUUGUGAAGAACACAUUGGAUCCAGAAUGGAAUGAAGUAUUCAAUUUCCCAGUAGCAGAGGAAGAGCUUAGUAGCAGGUAUAUUGUGUUGCAUUUGCUGGACAAGGCAUUCGUGGGUGAAACCGAUGCACUCGGUCAGAUAUUUAUAGAUCUUAUGAACCUAGAUAUAAAUGUUGGUUACACUGGAAAAUUUGCUUUAGCUGACCUUAAAAAUUCCAAUAAAGUGAGGACCAAAUGGUCACAGACGGCAACAGUGCAGGAAUUCCGUGAGGCGAUGUAUGCCCAUGCGGUGAACCGCUAUCCAAAGCUGGUCUUUCAAAAGCACAAGGGAAAUAAAGUGGUGACAGUCUCAAGCAGGAAGGCUGGUUCAUCUGCAAAGAUCAGGAUCAUUGAUGGAAUGGCGAUCUAGAAACUAUGUACGAGGAUUAUUACAUUAAAAAAAUGACAGCAGCACUUUAAAGACUGAAGUUGGAACCUCAUUGCAUUGUAUGACCGUCUCACGAUGAAUUAAACUCGGCUGUCUGUGAGCGCUAAACAACGAAACGCCCUCUAUUGAUUGUUGGUGGCAGUCUGAAUGGAUUGCAUUAAAUACGAUCUGUUGCAUUCACAUUGUCGCGUUUUUCACAGAAUCACAUCGGCUGACGACUGUCGUGCGUAUUGUGUACUGGGCUUAUCUUGUAUAAAAUUUAUAUCAUUCGUGCACGCAGUGGACUUCACCAGGAGACUGUACAAAUGGGAUAAGAAACAUCUAUAAUACAGCAAUGAUAAUGAGGGGAGGUCCUACAACAACAAAGUAUGCAAAUCUGGUGAACAAAUCAUCUACUGCUCUGUAGAAAUAAGCAACCCUAAUAAACAAUAUUCAAAGUAAAUAAGAUGUAAAAACUGUAGAUAGCAUACAGUUAAACUUGUCUAAGUCGACUUUGCCCAACUCGAAUAAUUUCUAAGUCGAACUUAUUUUACAUGCCAGAUUGUUGUGUUUUCCAUUAAUUAACAAUCUGUAAGUCAAAUUUUAUCUAAGUCGAAUGUUAUCCAAGUCGAACAAUUUUUCAAUGGUAUUUUUUAUUCGACUUAGGCAGUUCAAAUGUAUAAGGAUAUGAAUGUUUUUUUUUAUUUUUU